This 103-nucleotide non-coding RNA is filed under the name Ruminococcus sp. RNAcentral's name for it is "THF-I sequence". It matches the Rfam family "THF (Tetrahydrofolate) riboswitch aptamer". Rfam says of the family: THF riboswitch presents a pseudoknot that joins P1-P2 and the loop of P3 and two THF binding. Lineage: Bacteria; Bacillati; Bacillota; Clostridia; Eubacteriales; Oscillospiraceae. The record is from RNAcentral. RNAcentral also lists the same sequence under 1 other name.
UACAGAGUAGAGUGCUGCGCGUAAAGUGCCUGACGGACGGGGAGUUGCCGUCGGGACGAAAAGGACGUUCGCCCUUGCGGUGCAGUAUUCGCAUCCCGCUGAA